Molecule: ribosomal RNA, 536 nt
Filed under: uncultured microorganism
Description: bacterial SSU rRNA
Rfam family: Bacterial small subunit ribosomal RNA
Source: RNAcentral
GAGUUUGAUCCUGGCUCAGGAUGAACGCUGGCGGCGUGCCUAAUACAUGCAAGUCGAACGAACAGAUAAGGAGCUUGCUCCUUUGACGUUAGCGGCGGACGGGUGAGUAACACGUGGGUAACCUACCUAUAAGACUGGAAUAACUCCGGGAAACCGGGGCUAAUGCCGGAUAACAUGUUGAACCGCAUGGUUCUACAGUGAAGGACGGUCUUGCUGUCACUUAUAGAUGGACCCGCGCCGUAUUAGCUAGUUGGUGGGGUAACGGCCUACCAAGGCGACGAUACGUAGCCGACCUGAGAGGGUGAUCGGCCACACUGGAACUGAGACACGGUCCAGACUCCUACGGGAGGCAGCAGUAGGGAAUCUUCCGCAAUGGGCGAAAGCCUGACGGAGCAACGCCGCGUGAGUGAUGAAGGUCUUCGGAUCGUAAAGCUCUGUUGUUAGGGAAGAACAAAUGUGUAAGUAACUGUGCAUAUCUUGACGGUACCUAACCAGAAAGCCACGGCUAACUACGUGCCAGCCGCCGCAGUAAAACC